RNAcentral lists this ribosomal RNA (477 nucleotides) under uncultured bacterium. RNAcentral's name for it is "bacterial SSU rRNA". It matches the Rfam family "Bacterial small subunit ribosomal RNA", at positions 34 to 507 of the family's 1533-position model. The record is from RNAcentral.
CGCUGGCGGCAUGCCUUACACAUGCAAGUCGAACGGCAGCACGGGAGCAAUCCUGGUGGCGAGUGGCGAACGGGUGAGUAAUGUAUCGGAACGUACCUUCAGUGGGGGAUAACGUAGCGAAAGUUACGCUAAUACCGCAUAUUCUGUGAGCAGGAAAGCAGGGGAUCGCAAGACCUUGCGCUGAUUGAGCGGCCGAUAUCAGAUUAGCUAGUUGGUGAGGUAAAGGCUCACCAAGGCGACGAUCUGUAGCGGGUCUGAGAGGAUGAUCCGCCACACUGGAACUGAGACACGGUCCAGACUCCUACGGGAGGCAGCAGUGGGGAAUUUUGGACAAUGGGCGCAAGCCUGAUCCAGCCAUGCCGCGUGAGUGAAGAAGGCCUUCGGGUUGUAAAGCUCUUUCAGCCGGGAAGAAAACGCAUGGGUUAAUACCCUGUGUGGAUGACGGUACCGGAAUAAGAAGCACCGGCUAACUACGUG